AGCCUUCUGUAUCCGUGCUGAGAUUUCGUCACACACCAGACCACAAGGGCUGAU
This is a non-coding RNA of Schistosoma haematobium, 54 nucleotides long. Lineage: Eukaryota; Metazoa; Platyhelminthes; Trematoda; Strigeidida; Schistosomatidae. The record is from Rfam.